Molecule: non-coding RNA, 66 nt
Organism: Podarcis lilfordi (Lilford's wall lizard)
Lineage: Eukaryota; Metazoa; Chordata; Lepidosauria; Squamata; Lacertidae
Source: the annotation of a GenBank genome assembly
GAUGGGUAGCUCAGUUGGUAAGGUAUGAGACUCUUAGGUUCAUGGGUUCGAGCCCCAUGUUGGGCA